Molecule: ribosomal RNA, 480 nt
Filed under: uncultured Acidobacteriota bacterium
Lineage: Bacteria; Pseudomonadati; Acidobacteriota
Description: bacterial SSU rRNA
Rfam family: Bacterial small subunit ribosomal RNA
Source: RNAcentral
UUGAUCCUGGCUCAGAAUCAACGCUGGCGGCGUGCCUAACACAUGCAAGUCGAACGAGAAAGUGGAGCAAUCCAUGAGUACAGUGGCGACCGGGUGAGUUACACGUGACUAACCUACCUUCGAGUGGGGGAUAACCUCGGGAAACCGAGUCUAAUACCGCAUAACAUCGAGAGAUCAAAGGAGCAAUUCGCUUGAAGAGUGGGUCGCGGCUGAUUAGCUAGUUGGCGGGGUAAUGGCCCACCAAGGCGAUGAUCGGUAGCCGGCCUGAGAGGGCGCACGGCCACACUGGAACUGAAACAUGGUCCAGACUCCUACGGGAGGCAGCAGUGGGGAAUUUUGCGCAAUGGGGUAAACCCUGACGCAGCAACGCCGCGUGGAGGAUGAAGCCCCUUGGGGUGUUAACUCCUUUCGACCAAGACGAUAAUGACGGUACUGGUGGAAGAAGCACCUGCUAACUCUGUGCCAGCAGCCGCGGUAAUU